UGGGGAAUAUUGGACAAUGGGCGAAAGCCUGAUACAGCCAUGCCGCGUGUGUGAAGAAGGUCUUCGGAUUGUAAAGCACUUUAAGUUGGGAGGAAGGGCAGUAAGCGAAUACCUUGCUGUUUUGACGUUACCGACAGAAUAAGCACCGGCUAACUCUGUGCCAGCAGCCGCGGUAAUACAGAGGGUGCAAGCGUUAAUCGGAAUUACUGGGCGUAAAGCGCGCGUAGGUGGUUCGUUAAGUUUAAUGUGAAAGCCCCGGGCUCAACCUGGGAACUGCAUCCAAAACUGGCGAGCUAGAGUAGGGCAGAGGGUGGUAGAAUUUCCUGUGUAGCGGUGCAAUGCGUAGAUAUAUGAAGGAACACCAGUGGCGAAGGCGACCACCUGGGCUCAUACUGACACUGAGGUGCGAAAGCGUGGAGAGCAAACAGG
RNAcentral lists this ribosomal RNA (429 nucleotides) under Pseudomonadota bacterium. RNAcentral's name for it is "Proteobacteria bacterium partial 16S ribosomal RNA". It matches the Rfam family "Bacterial small subunit ribosomal RNA", at positions 355 to 776 of the family's 1533-position model. Lineage: Bacteria; Pseudomonadati; Pseudomonadota. The record is from RNAcentral.